This is a long non-coding RNA of Ipomoea nil (Japanese morning glory), 338 nucleotides long. RefSeq lists it as uncharacterized. The record is from RefSeq and is a predicted model, not a curated record. The transcript has 2 exons. NCBI's taxonomy places the organism in Eukaryota, Viridiplantae, Streptophyta, Magnoliopsida, Solanales, Convolvulaceae.
CUCAAUACUUACCCUGUUUACACUGAAAAGAAUGCAGCAAACAAAUCAAAUUGCAGAGUUUUUAGCAACUAUAGAGGUGCAAGUUUUGCGAGAUAAUUUCAUAUUGUGAUUCUAGAGAAAUACAUACAGCUUCUCUAUUUUUUUAAAAAAAAUUUCAUUCUGUUAGUUGUUGGCAAAUUGAAUGAUUCAUUCAUUUAUCCUUUUCAAUUUUGCUUCAACUAAUUUCAUGCUUAUUCUGCAACCUCUUUGAAGAAUACGAUUUUUGCAGGUUCUGCAAGCCAUUUCAAGAACAUGAUGCAUCUCUAGUCUAGAGCAUUCAGUAGCUUAAAAGAAAAUGG